AUACGUAGGGUGCGAGCGUUAAUCGGAAUUACUGGGCGUAAAGCGUGCGCAGGCGGUUGUGUAAGACAGGUGUGAAAUCCCCCGGGCUUAACCUGGGAACUGCGCUUGUGACUGCACGGCUAGAGUACGGCAGAGGGGGGUGGAAUUCCACGUGUAGCAGUGAAAUGCGUAGAUAUGUGGAGGAACACCGAUGGCGAAGGCAGCCCCCUGGGCCUGUACUGACGCUCAUGCACGAAAGCGUGGGGAGC
RNAcentral lists this ribosomal RNA (248 nucleotides) under uncultured bacterium. RNAcentral describes it as "partial 16S ribosomal RNA". It matches the Rfam family "Bacterial small subunit ribosomal RNA", at positions 523 to 769 of the family's 1533-position model. The record is from RNAcentral.